GGUAGGUGGGGGAGAGAGAGGGAGAGGGAGGGAGAAAGGGAGGGAGGGAGGAAAGGAGGAAGGAAGGACGGAUGGAAGGAAGGAAGGAAGGAAGGAAGGAAGGAAGGAAGGAAGGAAGGAAGGAAGGGAGGGAGGGAAAUCUGAACUCAGUGCUGAACUGGGAUGAAAAUGAUCAAGAAAAGAAAUCUCUAACCAUGCCCCUUCCUCCCGGCCACACCCUGGCCUUCUCCUGACCCUCCUGAUCCUCUAGAGACAAACUCUCCCACCAGAAGGACGAGCAAUUUCCUCUGUACUUCAGAUCCUGGGCAACCAUAGCCUGUCGUUUGCAACCCAAGUGUUGGAAACUGGACUCCUUUUUAGGUAAAACAGUACCUUUAAAUUCUAAGGUUCCUUUCUCAAAGCCAAUAUUCCCACCAGCUCUUGAAGAUUCCCCAGUUCUUUUUUUUUUUUUAAUUCCUCAAAUAACGUAAUAAUACAUGGAACAUGAGACUACUUGAAAUGACAGGACAGCGCAGAGGACUGAAUGUGGAAAUCAAUGACUUUUUUCAAUAUGUAAAAUUACUGAGACAUUGUAGAACUUUGAUACCAUGCACAGAAUAUUCUUCGCUGUAAUUCAGAAAGUGGUUAGAAGUUUCAGAGCUCUUCGGUUUUGCUGUAUGUCAACACAGGGUGGACACCAUUGAAAGGUACAAUUGACCCUUAGAAGUUUAUAAACAGCAACUUUGGACUUCUGUUCCACUUGGAAUUUGAAAUCUGUGGUCUGGAGCAAUAAUUUUAACCUGGGAAGCUUACUUGUCUUACACAGCACAGAACAGGGUUUGUUUCAUACAAACACUGUCAAGAACCCUAAGGAAACGAAGUUCUGAAGUCCAGCUGGAGGCAGGUGAAAGUCUUCUUGUCUCUGCUUGGAAGUCUAACAGCACAAUCCAAGAUUGCCACAGGUUUUGUAAGCUGUUUAUCUUACAUUUGUUUAACAUCAAAAUCAUAAAGGUCCUAUCUUAAUGACACAUACAAAUCUAACAAAACACUUUUCCGGUUCUCAUUAUUGUAUCUUUGGAUGACUUCUUUUCCUUGGGUGUCUUUUAAGUCCCCAACAUUAAAAGGAGCAAAUUUCUAGCAAAAUGAAAUUCAUGUGUAUCUGAACUCCAACAACACCAUCUAUGAGAAGACCUUACAAUUUAAAUAGGAAUUGAGAUCACAGCAUAUUUCAACUAAUAAUGCUUAACUGUGCAUCAGUUUAGCUUAAAAUGGCAAAGUAGAGCCCAGUCUUAUAAAAAUAUAACUACAAUGACUAUAAUGAAUUUGUCAUGGUAAUUUUUCCUUCUUGAUUUAAUUUUUUUUCCCUUGAUUUCUUUCCUGGUUUCUGAGUUAAAUCUUCUAACAGUAAUAUAUCAAACUCAAACUACUUUGCAACAGACAUGAAUCAGCAUCUUUGUUCCACAUGAUCCAAUGACCAAAAUGACCAGCUCCAUGAAGACUUCAGAGUGAUUUAUUCCCUACCUAAUUAGCUCAUCAGUUGACCAGCACUCUCUAUAUGAAAUGUCCCUUUGCAAAAUAUUGGUAUCCCAAUGCUCACUAUUUAAAUGCUUUCUUUCUUCUUCUUCUUCUUUUUUUUUUUUUUCAUUUUGAGGCAGAGUCUCACUCUGUCGCCCAGGCUGGAAUGCAGUGGCAUGAUCUUGGCUCACUGUGACCUCUGCCUCCUGGGUUCAAGCGAUUCUCCUGCCUCAGUCUCCUGAGUAGCUGGGAUUACAGGUUUGUGCCACCACGCCUGGCUAAUUUUUGUAUUUUUAGUAGAGACGGGCUUUCACCAUGUUGGCCGGGCUGGUCUUGAACUCCUGAUACCAAGUGAUCUGCCCGCCUCAGCCUCCCAAAAUGUGGUGAUUACAGGCAUGAACCACCACAUACGGCUCUAUUUAAAUGCUUUCUGAAAGUAGAUUCAAAUAAACACAAUUUCCAAAUCCACAGGGACAAAGCAGUAAGGGAAACUCAGCUAUGAUCAAUUCUUAUGCCUGUCCAUUCACCUUCCAUAGUAGCACUACCUGGGAAGAAUGAAUGUGUGUCAGGCAAGGUGAGAUGAAUAUCUACCCAACAUUAACUUCCCACGAUUCCACUCCUACGUAAGAGGCAGGUAUAUUCUGUUUUUCUUCCACACAUGCUUUCUGUGGCAUACUAACCAUCAACUAUAUGCUUUACCCACUGUUUUCCAAAUUUAAAACCUUGGAAAAAAUGUCCAAGUUUUAUAACACUAAGAAGUUUAUAAGAAUCCAAAUAUCGUUUUUAUUUUGGUUCUUGUGUGUAGACCAGAAUAUUCUGCAAUGCAGUCCACUGUAAUUUACAGUGCUAUCUGGAGUUGGCAUAAGCUUAAAGGAAAAGAGCCCCAGAUUUAAAAAAUGCAGCAGAGAAAAGCCCAUCUUAAGACAAUACUGACUUCCUCCAAAUUAAGAAAAGAAAUUCCCUACUGUGAUGGUUACUACUGAGUGUCAACUUGAUUGAAGGAUACAAAGUAUUGGUCCUGGGUGUGUCUGUGAGGGUGUUGCCAAAAGAGAUUAACAUUUGAGUCAGUGGGCUGGGAAAUGCAGACCCACCCUUAAUCUGGGUGGGCACAAUCUAAUCAGCUGCCAGCGCAGCUAGGAUACAAGCAGGCAGAAAAAUGUGAAAAGAGAGACUGGCCUAGCCUCCUAGCCUCCAUCUUUCUCCCGUGCUGGAUGCUUCCUGCCCUCGAACAUUAGGCUCCAAGUUCUUCAGUUUUGGAACUCGGACUGGCUCUCCUUGCUCCUCAGACUGCAGAUGGCCUAUUGUGGGACCUUAUGAUCAUAUGACAACAACAAAACUACCUGCAAGUCUCACUUCAUGGAACACAACAGAAACUCUGCAUAAGAAAAAAGGAAAUCCACAAAGCUUGUAGAAUGCCAGGGUCUCUCACUAUUGUCCAGGAUGAAGUGCAGUGGUGUGAUCAUAACUCACUGCAGCCUUGAACUCCUGGGCUCAAUGGAUCCUCUCACCUCGGCCUCCCAAAGUGCUGGGACUACAGGCGUGAGCCACCGUGCCUGUCUGAUUCUACCCUUUUCACUGUGAGUUUCUUGCAUCAAGAGGGCUUUGUGUUUCCCAGAGGCCCAGCACACAGGGUGCCUGGGGGUUGGCUCCACAGACAGGGAUGGCUGCCAUCUGUGCCACCAGACACCCACGCAGUACAAUCAACCCUCUUCUUGGCCACCAUCUGCCAACGCAGGGCCCAGCUGGACAACUUCUGGUUUGGUUUAAACUAGGAGAAUGUCAGGAACUAUUUCCCACCCUUGGCAUUAGAAUGAAGAACGACCGCUGCAAACUGGUUUGAUUCAAAGUCAACGAGAGACUUACCCAUGGCUGCUCCCGCUGAAAUCUGCUGCCAGAUGGUGUUGUGCUAUUCAGGUAAUUAGACAGACACCCAGAAAAAUUACAAUGUGAAUAUCUUCUGAACGAAAAGUAAUCAAAUAUUAAAGUGUAAUUUCAAAAAAACCUCACAAGCUCACAUUGAGACUUUCUUCUAGAACGACAAUCUAAAUACAGAUUCACUGAGAAAAGGGAAAAACACAGCAGGUAUCCACACACACACAAAAGCACAGUGUACCCCUUCAUUAUUUGGGUGCCAAAGUCCAUUUUAAGGAGGCUGUCAAGAGCUUCCAGUUACUAGUGGCAUUCAACACACAGUCACAACAAAGUCCCUACACAUCUGAUCCAGCAGGGCGCUAAACUGCGUAAACCC
Long non-coding RNA from Symphalangus syndactylus (siamang), 3742 nucleotides. RefSeq lists it as uncharacterized. NCBI's taxonomy places the organism in Eukaryota, Metazoa, Chordata, Mammalia, Primates, Hylobatidae. The record is from RefSeq and is a predicted model, not a curated record.